Molecule: unclassified non-coding RNA, 1010 nt
Filed under: Dimorphilus gyrociliatus
Lineage: Eukaryota; Metazoa; Annelida; Polychaeta; Dinophilidae
Description: hypothetical protein
Source: RNAcentral
CAUUUCUUAUUUUUAAUACGCUCUUAAAUCGCAUCCCCGCUUCUACUUGGACACACAGUUAUUUUUUGUUUAUUAGUUGGAAUACAUUCUCUAGAGGUAAAACUGCUCAUGCAACUUUUUUCAUCAUUUUGUUGAAUAUAUCUUUGAGUACAAGUUAAAUAAACAGCCGGAAAUAUGGCGGAUCUUUGUCCAGGACUUCUAUGGGCUGUAAUUUGGUUUUUUGGUUUAAUUUUUGUGGGCUGGCCAAUUGGAUUUUUACUAGCCUGGUUGUACGUAUGUUUGUUACCUUUCGGAGCUUGCAUUGAAGCUAUGAAAGGAGCAGCGGAGGCUGUUCUUGGUAUUGUUCAGUUACCUCUAACUUUUGCUGACAACAUGGUGAACAUGAAGCCCUGUGGAAAGUAAAUCGAUCUGGUUACCAGAGGCUUUAAAAAAAUACUAAAAAAAACCUUGUAUUCAAACAAAUCACUGUAUUCAAACAAAACAAAAAUGUACAAUUGUUUUGAAGAAGUUUUUUGUAAGUUCAAGUUUUAUUAUUUUAUUAAUAUAAAUAUCAUUAAGUGGUCAUGGGAGAUUUCAUCCGAAACCAUCUCUCAACCGAGAUUAAUCAUUCAGUCGAAAUAUCUAAGAAAUAAUAGUCGAUAUAAUUUUUUUCUUUAAUCGUAAUUAUUUUGGGUGAUUUGGGACGAAAUCUUCAGAUACCAUUGCUACAUAUCGCAAAAAACGUACUAAAAAAAAGUCAAUUACUAUGAUAAGACCGAAUUUGAAUUAUUAUUUAAAUAAUAAAUAGAAAAUAUAUUAAUCCAAUUCUGGUCUAGUUAAUGUUGACUUUUUACAAUAAUUAAUUAAUUCAAUAUAAUAUUGAAUACUCUUUUUAUUGAUAUGAUUUAAAUAAGGCUUAGACAAUAGUCAAAUCAAUCAUUAGUAAUCGUGCUAUUGUUAUUUUUAUAAAAAUAAUGGAUUAAACAAUGAUGUUGACAAUAUGUUUUAUUUGAUAACGUGAUUGAACCUAA